Molecule: long non-coding RNA, 2582 nt
Organism: Spinacia oleracea (spinach)
Lineage: Eukaryota; Viridiplantae; Streptophyta; Magnoliopsida; Caryophyllales; Amaranthaceae
Exons: 4
Source: RefSeq, a predicted model, not a curated record
AGAAGUUCCAGUUGCAUUUCUCCAAAACCUAGGUCAGAUGUAAAAUACUAAAACCCCUAAAAUAUUUUGGUUUUCUUUCUUCUCUAAUUCCACUAAGGCGAUGGAUGUAGCCAGAGUUCUGAAACUAUAUACUCUGAAUUUGCAUAUGCUUCCAAAGUAAUCUUCUCAAAACUAAGAAUUUCAGAGUGGCAAUGGGUGGAGACUACGGCUACGAAGGGCGACGUUCCACAUCGAUGCGGCACUAGCACCGGCACCACCCAUUGCCACUCUUGCUCAAUAUUCUAAAAGAGGGGAAAGAAAAACCAUUCCCUAAAAAGAAAACCCAUACCCUAAAAUUGAAUUUAUGGAAGAAUCAGAGAAGGUGAAGGCUCUUCCAUGACUAACCAAUGCUUAUAUUGUUUAUGUGCUUAAGAGGGAUAAAUCUAUUUAAUAUCGCCUAGAUGGGUCGUGCUUUUGAUGAGAAUCACUGCCUUUCUUCUGAAUUGGGUACCCCCACUGAUUGGUAAUGACUGAUUUAGAAAAUAAUUGGGUUUUUUAAUUGUAUUUUUAUGAGUAUAUUGGUUUUGUAAUGAAUUGUUGGGUUUUUAUAGUAAUUGACAUACUCCACAGAAGAUUUUUGAUAGUAAUUGACAUACUCCAUUACUAGAUUUGUCAAUGAGAACAUAAAUUUGAAGAUUUUUUGUUUGUUGUUCAAUCUGGGCUUGUGUCUAAAAUAAUUCCAUAUUCAUAUAGAUAACAGAUUCUCCGAUCUAGUUUUGUUGGUGGAGGAGACUAGUUUUAAGUUUGUGUGUAGUAGGAUGCUCAAUACCUUCGAGUUAAGUCAGAAGGUUAAUUUUUACUAGAAUUGAUCCUAAUAAGUUCAUAUUGUCAAGUUUAAUUAUCUCCACUCGGUUCUAUUAUUAGAGUGAUUAAUGUGUCUCUCAUGUUAUUCAGGUUUGUUUGUUUAGAUUCCUUUUAGCUACACUGUUUCCUGAAUUUCUCCUCCUGGUGAUCCUCAGAAUUAUUCCAUAUGUUUGAUUGAAAUUGUUGGUUCUUGUUAUCGUAUUAUUUUUUAUUCGUUCUUUACGCGUUAUCAUUAAUCUAGGACUGUUGUAAUAAUCCCUAGAGUGACUUGCACGAGUUAAAAACAUUGCAGUAGCUUUCACAAAGUUGGAAAAGGUCGUUUUGAAAUAAGGAAUUAAUGUUGUCUAUGGCAUGAAUUAACUUGUAAUCUGUUUUGCAGGACUGAAUGAUCUACGACAACGUAGGACAAAGUGUCUAAUAAGCUUGUUUGUAUCCCUACUUGUUAAGCUAAUAACGUGUUUGUAAAUAACAUGUUAUGGUUUUCUAAUUGCAGACUUGAAUAACUAGUUGACGAAAUUACGGGUUUAUAUGGAUAUACUUAUGGUACAAUUAUAAAACUUGGAAUGAUUCUUGGGCAUUGCUAUGCCUGACUAUCCCUAUACAAAAGAGAGCAACAGUAUUUAUGUGAAAACAAAGACCUCCUAGUCCAUGGUCGGAUUUUCAUUGACUAGCAUAUAGCUAGGGUUUUGGUGAAUCACACCUAGUUACGAGUACCAGUCCGGUGAGCCUGUCAAACAACACUUGAUGUCCUACGUGGGGCCCACGUCACUAUCCAUAAGUGAUCAUUCAGCUAUCUGUACCAAAGACUUAAAUGUCAUAGUAUAGUAAGCAUACAAGAAUAAUGGAUUUUUCUUUGGUGUUAUAUCUGGAUGAACUAAGCUGAUGCAUAACAUUUUUGAUUGCAGGUGUUUUAUAGUAAUAAUUAUGCACGGGAUGCUUUGGUUCCGAAAUUCGGGGAUAGGGAGCAGUGGGGAAGGGUCUAAGUCUGUUUUCUUCUAAUGCAGUUCUUGUCCAAAGGAUGUUGAUUUUCAUUUGCUUUGGGAAGAUGCUAAAAAACAGGAAUCUUGUUGUUGAAGCGUAAAUUGCUUACUGAAAUCAACACGUGAUGUAGUACGGAGGAUGAUCCUGAUAAUUUACGAUCUGCAUGGGCUCGACUGUUUCAGGUGUGAAGGUGAUUAUGGUUGUAUCUGAUAGGCGAGGUAACUAGCUUGCAUACGAUGCCCACAACGCUGCAGCAACAUGAGCAGCCACAAGUGCAUGCAAGAGCCAAGGCAAAGCAGCCCCAGCAACACUCAAGCAAGCAGAAGAGCAGCGCGCAGCAAGAGCUACAGCCGUGCGAGUGCACAGCCUUUCCCGUGCAGGCGCACACUGCUGUGCGAGCGCACAACCCAUCCUGCGCGGGCGAACGAAAUGCCAAAAACGGAUCAGGAACUCUACAGUUUCUUGUGCGGUCGCAUGUCACAUCUGUGCGGUCACACUGUUCUGGUGCGGGCGCACACCCCCCUCGUGCGGUCGCACGGCUUCGCGGAGGACUAUAAGUACGAGAAAUCGCAGCAUUUGUAAUGAGGCUUUCAUUAGGCUUUCAUUACGUAAUUUUCAUUUCUCUUAGGCUUAGCUUAGAAUUCUCUCUCUAGAAUUAGUUUAGGGUUUAGAUUAGAGAUUAGGAUUAAGGCUUCUUAGCCUCAAAUUCUUGAUUCUAAAUUCAAUUCAAUCAUCAUUUCUGAUUUCUUUUCUCUUUC